CCAGUAACGGCGAGUGAAGCGGCAACAGCUCAAAUUUGAAAUCUGGCCCCCAGGGCCCGAGUUGUAAUUUGCAGAGGAUGCUUUUGGCGCGGUGCCUUCCGAGUUCCCUGGAACGGGACGCCAUAGAGGGUGAGAGCCCCGUCUGGUCGGACACCAAGCCAGUGUAAAGCUCCUUCGACGAGUCGAGUAGUUUGGGAAUGCUGCUCUAAAUGGGAGGUAUAUGUCUUCUAAAGCUAAAUACCGGCCAGAGACCGAUAGCGCACAAGUAGAGUGAUCGAAAGAUGAAAAGCACUUUGAAAAGAGGGUUAAACAGUACGUGAAAUUGUUGAAAGGGAAGCGUUUGUGACCAGACUUGGGCCCGGUGAAUCAUCCAGCGUUCUCGCUGGUGCACUUCGCCGGGCCCAGGCCAGCAUCAGUUCGCCGCGGGGGAUAAAAGCUUCGGGAACGUGGCUCCCUCGGGAGUGUUAUAGCCCGUUGCAUAAUACCCUGCGGCGGACUGAGGUUCGCGCUCCGCAAGGAUGCUGGCGUAAUGGUCAUCAGCGACCCGUCUUGAAACACGGACCAAGGAGUCGUCUUCGUAUGCGAGUGUUCGGGUGUCAAACCCCUACGCGUAAUGAAAGUGAACGCAGGUGAGAGCUUCGGCGCAUCAUCGACCGAUCCUGAUGUUCUCGGAUGGAUUUGAGUAAGAGCAUACGGGGCCGGACCCGAAAGAAGGUGAACUAUGCCUGUAUAGGGUGAAGCCAGAGGAAACUCUGGUGGAGGCUCGCAGCGGUUCUGACGUGCAAAUCGAUCGUCAAAUAUGGGCAUG
Molecule: ribosomal RNA, 808 nt
Filed under: Tolypocladium sp. RG-2013a
Lineage: Eukaryota; Fungi; Ascomycota; Sordariomycetes; Hypocreales; Ophiocordycipitaceae
Description: eukaryotic LSU rRNA
Rfam family: Eukaryotic large subunit ribosomal RNA
Source: RNAcentral